UCUCUCUCCCCCUCUCUCUUUCCCUCUCUCUUUUCCCAUCUCCCCCUCUCUUUUCCUUUCUCUCUCCCCCUCUAUCUUUUCCUCUCUCUCUCCUCCUCUCCCCCCUCUCCAGACAUCGUGAAACAAGCUGUGAAGGAGUACAGGAACAUCUACCCUGAGACGUGUGUUUGAGACAGUGUUUGGUCUGAAGCUGGUGGAGAUCGACUCUAAGAACCACGUCUACAUCCUCAUCAACAAACUGGAGCAGCUAGAGGGAGAAUCUCUCAACAUGUAGAUCACUGUGUGGAAAGACUAGAGGGAGAAUCUCUCAACAUGUAGGUCACUGUGUGGAAAGACUAGAGGGAGAAUCUCUCAACAUGUAGGUCACUGUGUGGAAAGACUAGAGGGAGAAUCUCUCAAGAUGGAGGUCACUGUGUGGAAAGACUAGAGGGAGAAUCUCUCAAGAUGGAGGUCACUGUGUGGAAAGACUAGAGGGAGAAUCUCUCAAGAUGGAGGUCACUGUGUGGAAAGACUAGAGGGAGAAUCUCUCAACAUGGAGGUCACUGUGGAAAGACUAGAGGGGGAUCUCUCAAGAUGGAGGUCACUGUGUGGAAAGACUAGAGGGAGAAUCUCUCAACAUGUAGGUCACUGUGUGGAAAGACUAGAGGGACAAUCUCUCAACAUGUAGGUCACUGUGUGGAAAGACUAGAGGGAAAAUCUCUCAAGAUGGAGGUCACUGUGUGGAAAGACAAGAGGGAGAAUCUCUCAACAUGUAGGUCACUGUGUGGAAAGACUAGAGGGAGAAUCUCUCAAGAUGGAGGUCACUGUGUGGAAAGACUAGAGGGACAAUCUCUCAACAUGUAGGUCACUGUGUGGAAAGACUAGAGGGAAAAUCUCUCAACAUGUAGGUCACUGUGUGGAAAGACUAGAGGGAAAAUCUCUCAAGAUGGAGGUCACUGUGUGGAAAGACAAGAGGGAGAAUCUCUCAACAUGUAGGUCACUGUGUGGAAAGACUAGAGGGAGAAUCUCUCAAGAUGUAAGCCCCAGGAAGACACCCCCUCCCCUACAGGAAGACUCCAAGCAGACACCCCCUCCCCUACAGGAAGACACCCCCUCCCCUACAGGAAGACUCCAGGAAGACACCCCCUCCCCUACAGGAAGACUCCAGGAAGACACCCCCUCCCCUGCAGGAAGACCGCAGGAAAACAUCCCCUCCCCAACAGGAAGACACCCCCUCUCCUACAGGAAGACACCCCUCCCCUACAGGAAGACACCCCUCUCCUACAGGAAGACACCCCCUCCCCUACAGGAAGACACCCCCUCCCCUACAGGAAGACACCCCCUCUCCUACAGGAAGACCCCAAGAAGACACCCCCUCUCCCACAGGAAGACACCCCCUCUCCUACAGGAAGAUCCCAGGAAGACACCCCUCCCCCACAGGAAGAUCCCAGGAAGACACCCCCUCCCCUACAGGAAGAUCCCAGGAAGAC
This 1469-nucleotide long non-coding RNA is filed under the name Salmo salar (Atlantic salmon). RNAcentral describes it as "lncRNA (ENSSSAG00000085809.1, ENSSSAG00000118812.1)". The record is from RNAcentral. Lineage: Eukaryota; Metazoa; Chordata; Actinopteri; Salmoniformes; Salmonidae.